GAUAAACGCUGGCGGCGUGCCUAAAACAUGCAAGUCGAACGGCUCACUUCGGUGGGUAGUGGCGAACGGCUGAGUAACACGUGGGUGACCUGCCUUCGAACGGGGGAGUAACUGCCCGAAAGGGUGGCUAAUACCGCAGAUGUCUGUGCUUCGGUGUGCAGACUGAACUUGAGGGGUUCGGAGAGGGGCCUGCGUCCGAUUAGCUAGCUGGUGGGGUAACGGCCUACCAGGGCGACGAUCGGUAGCUGGUCUGAGAGGAUGAUCAGCCAGACUGGGACUGCGAACGGCCCAGACUCCUACGGGAGGCAGCAGUUAGGAAUUUUGGGCAAUGGGCGAAAGCCUGACCCAGCAACGCCGCGUGGGUGAUGAAGGCCCUCGGGUCGUAAAGCCCUUUUCCAGGGGAAGAUAGUGACGGUACCCUGGGAAUCAGCCCCGGCUAACUACGUG
Molecule: ribosomal RNA, 447 nt
Filed under: uncultured bacterium
Lineage: Bacteria
Description: bacterial SSU rRNA
Rfam family: Bacterial small subunit ribosomal RNA
Source: RNAcentral